This 443-nucleotide long non-coding RNA is filed under the name Penaeus japonicus. RNAcentral describes it as "uncharacterized LOC122253854". Lineage: Eukaryota; Metazoa; Arthropoda; Malacostraca; Decapoda; Penaeidae. The record is from RNAcentral.
GGUGCGUGUGUAUAUAUAGAGGCCAGGGUGCGGUUCCUUCCAGUUUUUGUUUUUUCUCAGUUCGGUUCAACGAGAAGCAGGAUGAAACUGGUGGCGACCCUCCUCGCAACGCUGGCAAUUGUGUUCGGCUUAUUGCACUGUGUUAUGGCACUCCCUCAACCCCAUCCCGCGGCUCGCCCUGAACCUCGACGCCCCAGAAAACCCUCAUUUGACCCCAAGCUCAGCUAUGGUUAUCGUUCAAGGGCGUAUUAUGGUGAUUACCUCCCGACGUACCGAUGGUGAUGUCCCGGCGCUGGCGGUGAGGUUCCCCAAGGCGACGUAUGAGUGGCUACGGUGUUUUGUUUGUAGAGGAUCUGAGUGCUGAGGCUACGCUUUUGUUUUCUAAUUUCGAGGUUCCUUAAUGGCUUUUGUUAUCUUUUGGAAAUAAAUGUCAGUUGUUUUUU